AGGUCUUGACAUCCCUUGACAACUCCAGAGAUGGAGCGUUCCCUUCGGGGACAAGGUGACAGGUGGUGCAUGGUUGUCGUCAGCUCGUGUCGUGAGAUGUUGGGUUAAGUCCCGCAACGAGCGCAACCCUUAUUACUAGUUGCCAGCAUUCAGUUGGGCACUCUAGUGAGACUGCCGGUGACAAACCGGAGGAAGGUGGGGAUGACGUCAAAUCAUCAUGCCCCUUAUGACCUGGGCUACACACGUGCUACAAUGGCGUAUACAACGAGUUGCCAACCCGCGAGGGUGAGCUAAUCUCUUAAAGUACGUCUCAGUUCGGAUUGUAGGCUGCAACUCGCCUACAUGAAGUCGGAAUCGCUAGUAAUCGCGGAUCAGCACGCCGCGGUGAAUACGUUCCCGGGUCUU
Molecule: ribosomal RNA, 405 nt
Filed under: uncultured Weissella sp.
Lineage: Bacteria; Bacillati; Bacillota; Bacilli; Lactobacillales; Lactobacillaceae
Description: bacterial SSU rRNA
Rfam family: Bacterial small subunit ribosomal RNA
Source: RNAcentral